UAUAUAUUAGUGUAGGAUGCACUUGAAUUUUUGAAUUUCAAAGUUAUGGUUUAAAUCCAUAAUAUAUAA
This 69-nucleotide transfer RNA is filed under the name Cydnidae sp. ITV1034. RNAcentral describes it as "tRNA-Gln". It matches the Rfam family "tRNA". From Rfam's summary of the family: Transfer RNA (tRNA) molecules are approximately 80 nucleotides in length. Their secondary structure includes four short double-helical elements and three loops (D, anti-codon, and T loops). Lineage: Eukaryota; Metazoa; Arthropoda; Insecta; Hemiptera; Cydnidae. The record is from RNAcentral.